This is a long non-coding RNA of Vidua macroura (Pin-tailed whydah), 1019 nucleotides long. RefSeq lists it as uncharacterized. The transcript is spliced from 3 exons. The record is from RefSeq and is a predicted model, not a curated record. NCBI's taxonomy places the organism in Eukaryota, Metazoa, Chordata, Aves, Passeriformes, Viduidae.
CGGCGUGUUUUACAGCACCCUCUUCAAUUGCUUAGCACCCAUGUCUGACAUUUCACACCUGAGCCCUCCAGCUGCACGGGAGGAAAAAGCUUUUCAGUGGGAUUACAGCUCCUAAAAGGCUGAUUGUCACACACCCCCAGGCUUUGAUCCAGACCUUCCCCAGCCUCUCAGGGGCCAGGCUCCCUCAAGAGCCAUCUCUCCCCUGAUGGGCACCUUGCAGGUGUCGUGUCUCGUGUCACCAACACUCCUGUGCACACGCUGCUGGCUCCCCAGGCGUGGGCUCCAGAAAUCCCAGCAAAAGGCACGACUCCAUAGGCUGAAACAAAUCCAUUUGGGAAUGUGCACCUGGAUUGAACACGAGCUGUGCUGAUCACAGGAGUGACCCGUGCUCCAUCCAUGCAGUAUCUUGGCAGCAUAGCAAAGAGCCCCUGGAUCCCCCUGGAAAAGCAAAAGGAGAGAAAUGAGAAUCCCAGGUGAACGUGGCCAGGAAAAUCCGGAUGCAGCAAAAUCUAAACUGAGACAGGCACCUCUUGGAGUGCUUUACAACCCAUUUGCUCAGCUCAGAGGGGCACGAGCUGCAGCACAGCAAAGAACAGGGAUCUUGAUGUCUCUCUUGGAUCAGAUACAGACAGUAGCCUGUCUGGUUACAGAGAGCACUUUCUUUGAUUAAAAGCUAAUAAAUAUUCAUCCCUUUCCUCUCCUGCCAUCCCUCCCAAAUCCCCAGAGACAAAACUUAGACAAGCAAAACUGGUUCAUUUGUGAUGUAUUCCAGUGCAUUGCUCCAAAACACUUGGAAUCCUUCCAGAUAACAGUGCGUGGCUGCAAGGGCUAUGGAUCACCAAGGAAAGGGCCAAUACCUUGCAUUCACUUCCAACAAGGCUCAGGUCAUAAAGGACAUACUCAUUAUUAAUGGUGGGUGUAGGGAAGCAAAGUAUAAAGCGUACACAGAUCCUUAUCCACAGCUAAUUCCUCAGUAAAUUGGCAGAGAUACAUCACUGCCUGCAGAGCCGGAGACAGAG